Molecule: transfer RNA, 70 nt
Filed under: Marmota monax (woodchuck)
Lineage: Eukaryota; Metazoa; Chordata; Mammalia; Rodentia; Sciuridae
Also listed under: 1 other name
Rfam family: tRNA
About the family: Transfer RNA (tRNA) molecules are approximately 80 nucleotides in length. Their secondary structure includes four short double-helical elements and three loops (D, anti-codon, and T loops).
Source: Rfam by way of RNAcentral
GGGGCUGUAGCUCAGUGGCAGAGUGCUUGCCUAGCAUGUGUGAGGCACUAGGGUUUGACCCUCAGCACCA